This 530-nucleotide long non-coding RNA is filed under the name Mytilus galloprovincialis (Mediterranean mussel). The record is from RNAcentral. Lineage: Eukaryota; Metazoa; Mollusca; Bivalvia; Mytilida; Mytilidae.
UGAUAAGAACUUAAACAAUGAUCUAAUAUUAUAGAUGUUUUUUAAGUUUGAUUUAAAUUUGAAUGAUCAAUGUAAAAUGACUGAUAUGACGAUGAUUAUAUUAACAGAUGGGAAGAACACCAUUUCAUUACGCAGGAGGGAAACAUGAUGGUGGACAUAUGUAUGAACUUCUAAAGGAGGCUGGAGGGAUGAAACUAUCAAAGAUAUUGUAAGUUUACAGUGUGUGAACACCAUUAAAUCAAUGUUGAUUCAAUUAGCAAUGUCCUAUAUUCUUUCCAUUGUUCCUGUGAUGAUACAUUGCACCAAAUAUCUGUUUUCUUUCCCAGUGCAAGUAAAUUUCUUAAUCAAUUUAGCAAAUUUCAGGAUGAAAAUAAAAUUAUUUGUGUUUUCUUAGAAUUCAGAGUGAAACUGAUGAUUUGUAUGUAAUUUCAGAAUGGCUGCACACCAAAAGAUUACUAUGAUUGAUCAAUGAAAAAUUGGAGUUGUAGCUUUGAAGGAAAAACUCAAAGAAUCCUUGGAUAGUGAUGUUU